AGAAUAUUCCGCAAUGGGCGAAAGCCUGACGGAGCGACGCCGCGUGCGCGAUGGAGGCCGGAAGGUUGUAAAGCGCUUUUAUGGCGGAGGAAGGAACGGGGGAGGAAACGCCCCCGCGGCGACGGUACGCCAUGAAUAAGGGGCGGCUAAUUACGUGCCAGCAGCCGCGGUAACACGUAAGCCCCGAGCGUUGUUCGGAAUUAUUGGGCGUAAAGGGCGCGCAGGCGGCCGAGCAAGUCUGGGGUGAAAUCCCGGGGCCCAACCCCGGAACUGCCUUGGAAACUGCCCGGCUGGAGUCGCCGAAGGGAAGCCGGAAUUCCUGGUGUAGGGGUGAAAUCUGUAGAUAUCAGGAAGAACACCGAUGGCGAAGGCAGGCUUCCGGCGGACGACUGACGCUGAGGCGCGAAGGCGCGGGGAGCAAACA
Molecule: ribosomal RNA, 424 nt
Filed under: uncultured bacterium
Lineage: Bacteria
Description: bacterial SSU rRNA
Rfam family: Bacterial small subunit ribosomal RNA
Source: RNAcentral